UGUAGCAAUACAUUGCUGGCGACCGGCGCACGGGUGAGUAACACGUAUCCAACCUGCCUUUUACUCGGGGAUAGGCUUUCGAAAGAAAGAUUAAUACCCGAUGGCAUAAUAUUUCCGCAUGGGAUUAUUAUUAAAGAAUUUCGGUAAAAGAUGGGGAUGCGUUCCAUUAGGCAGUUGGCGGGGUAACGGCCCACCAAACCUUCGAUGGAUAGGGGUUCUGAGAGGAAGGUCCCCCACAUUGGAACUGAGACACGGUCCAAACUCCUACGGGAGGCAGCAGUGAGGAAUAUUGGUCAAUGGGCGCAGGCCUGAACCAGCCAAGUAGCGUGAAGGAUGACUGCCCUAUGGGUUGUAAACUUCUUUUAUAUGGGAAUAAAGUUUUCCACGUGUGGAAUUUUGUAUGUACCAUAUGAAUAAGGAUCGGCUAACUCCGUGCCAGCAGCCGCGGUAAUACGGAGGAUCCGAGCGUUAUCCGGAUUUAUUGGGUUUAAAGGGAGCGUAGGUGGACAGUUAAGUCAGUUGUGAAAGUUUGCGGCUCAACCGUAAAAUUGCAGUUGAUACUGGCUGUCUUGAGUACAGUAGAGGUGGGCGGAAUUCGUGGUGUAGCGGUGAAAUGCUUAGAUAUCACGAAGAACUCCGA
RNAcentral lists this ribosomal RNA (640 nucleotides) under uncultured Bacteroidales bacterium. RNAcentral describes it as "bacterial SSU rRNA". It matches the Rfam family "Bacterial small subunit ribosomal RNA", at positions 75 to 712 of the family's 1533-position model. The record is from RNAcentral. Lineage: Bacteria; Pseudomonadati; Bacteroidota; Bacteroidia; Bacteroidales.